This 316-nucleotide long non-coding RNA is filed under the name Androctonus crassicauda. The record is from RNAcentral. Lineage: Eukaryota; Metazoa; Arthropoda; Arachnida; Scorpiones; Buthidae.
GCUUUUCCUUGUGUUUUUAAAUAUUCAUUUAUUUUGCUUUCCAUAUAUGAAUAUUUUCCCUACAUGUAUGUGUAUCUCAUGAAUGUCUAUGUCCAUGCAGGGUUGAAGAGUGUUGCAGGUCACUUGGAACCGGAGUUACAUUGAUUAUGGAGUUACCAUGUGGGUGCUGGGAGCCAAACCUAGGUCUUCUGUGAGACUAGCAAGUGCCUUUGAAUGCUGAGCCAUCUCAUUAGGUCCAACCCUAAAGAUCCUUGCCUGCCACUAUUUCUGUGAUCUCAAUGUUUUGUUUUCUCCUGACUUCUGACACCAAGCUGAU